This 253-nucleotide ribosomal RNA is filed under the name uncultured bacterium. RNAcentral's name for it is "partial 16S ribosomal RNA". It matches the Rfam family "Bacterial small subunit ribosomal RNA", at positions 524 to 776 of the family's 1533-position model. The record is from RNAcentral.
UACGUAGGGUGCAAGCGUUAAUCGGAAUUACUGGGCGUAAAGCGUGCGCAGGCGGUUUUGUAAGACAGAUGUGAAAUCCCCGGGCUUAACCUGGGACCUGCAUUUGUGACUGCAAAGCUAGAGUACGGUAGAGGGGGAUGGAAUUCCGCGUGUAGCAGUGAAAUGCGUAGAUAUGCGGAGGAACACCGAUGGCGAAGGCAAUCCCCUGGACCUGUACUGACGCUCAUGCACGAAAGCGUGGGAAGCAAACAGG